AUGAUGCUUGCUAUGACGCCUGGAGGUAGGCGCUAUUACUGAGAAAACAGGCUUUGUGACUUGUCCAGGGUCAGCUAAUAAAUGUCUGAGGCUGCCUUUGAACUCUGGUCUCCCCAUCUCUAGGUCUAAUUGCACCAUUUAGCUCCCUCACUUUCCAGAAUUCACCUGGGGAGGAGGCAGGCUGGAGAUCUGAUCCUAGAUGGUCUUAGCUCACAAGCCCCAUACCCAGGCUCCGGGUGAGGGAUCAGCAAGGAAAGCCGUAUCCCCCUGAGCCCAGAGCUGGACGGCUGCUGCCUCCCUUCCCCUGGGGAAUGGCAGCUGUGGGAGAUCGUGCAAAAUCAGCUGCAUUGCCCACGUCUGGGCAGGAGGCAGUGGCUGGGCUUCCCCGCUGUGUCUCCUUCCAUGUUCUCCAGAGCUGAGGAGAGUUAGAGUUUGGGGUUUGGGGGAAUGGGGAAGGACACCAAGUGAUGGAGGUGCAGUUUUCAGAUAUGGUCACAAAGGGGCAGUGUGAAUCUAUAUACAAAUAAGCCCAUUGUUGUGAAGAUUCUGGGAUGAAUUUUAAAAGGGGUGUGGGUGGGGAGCUCCCUUCUUGGUCAGCCUCUUUUGGAUGUCUUCCAACUUAUCAAUAGCUUUAAAAAAUAUGAUGUCCAGAAAUGAACACAAGAUUUCAUAUAUAAUCUGGUCAAGGAAGAGGAAACAAUCACUUUCCACAUUCUGUCGUGGUUCAGAGGAGUGUACAAGAAGGGCUUGCACUUCAGGUGGAAGGAUUUGUUCAUCCAUCCUUGGUCAGUACCCGGCACACUGUGGUUCCGGGAAGCCCCAUGCAGCAUGUGCAGUGGCCACAUCCCAGCAAAACCUUCUCAGCCCAUGGGCUGAACCAGGGAGAGGAUGAUGGACAGACCUCCAAGCCAUUGAAAAAGAAAAGGGGAAAAAAAUCCUUGUAACAAAUAUACAGUCUCAUUCUGCUGCCUGAUUCAAUCUCCUCUAUCAGAAGGAAAAACCAGGACACAGGUGAAGUGACUUGUCCAGAACCCAUUCAGUGGAAAGAGUGGGUGAUUUGAUCCCAUAUAUUGCCAACUCAAAAGUUCAACACCUGAUUCACUG
This is a long non-coding RNA of Sarcophilus harrisii (Tasmanian devil), 1104 nucleotides long. RefSeq lists it as uncharacterized. Lineage: Eukaryota; Metazoa; Chordata; Mammalia; Dasyuromorphia; Dasyuridae. The transcript is spliced from 3 exons. The record is from RefSeq and is a predicted model, not a curated record.